CUUGUUCAAGUUUCUUAAGGUUAAUCCUACCUUCAACAACGCUUUGAGCAAGGCCCAAUAUGCGACUCGCUCUAUAACCAAGAUUGCACCUCUUUCCCAGAAAAUCUACAUCAAGGCCUGCUAAUUCUUCUGGGCCAGGAAAGUUCCCCAUGGCACUGUGGAAGGGCAAUUCUGUCUUUUCACUAUUUAAUUCAUCCACCUUUAAGGAGUUUUUGGAGCAAUAUUAGUAAUCUGCAGCUCCAGUUGCAGUUCACAAAGAGCUCUAGCCAUGCUUAAUGUCCUAGACCACCUAAAAUGAGGAGAAAGAAAAGGUCACUGACAUGCAACUUUAAAAAGAAAAAUACGAUUAAUCAUUAAACCGGCCAGAAAUCAUGUCAGUCAUGGACGUCUUAAUUAAGCAAUAGGCAUAUUGAAGCAAGAUAAAAGUUAUAAAUGAAUUAGUCGACUUCGCUUGUGUUGUGUUAUAGUCGAAUUGUUUUAGGUUAAUUGGUAAAAUGGAAUAAAAGAUGGCAUUUUCAUAACAAUAUUAUAUUAAUAAGUCUUAACAGAUUUGGUUUAGUAAUUAGUAUGCAUGCACUUAUUUUUCUUUCAGUAUUUGCUUUAUCCUCAUAACUUGGAUUUUACUACUAUAUAUAUUCAAUAACAAAUGUGAAACAGACGAAUUAGUCCCUCAACUUCUAAUGUUGUUAUCUCAGUCUGCAAAAUUUACGUUGUCUUGAUGUUCGACUUCUAGCCCCUCACUCUGCUGACACAAGUGAUGAUCAUCAAUAACUUUGGCAUAAGUUGAUGAUGUAAACAGAGCAAUAGUAAACUCGUCAAUCCGUCAAAAAGCAUUCAUUCCUAGGAUCGAAUGCAACAUGCAUCAACUCAUUUUCUUAAGACAUUGGCUUGAAAAGUUACAAAUUUGAGGGGAAGAAGGGGAAGAAUCAGGUUUCUUUGUUUGUGUUAUUAAACUUGGUUCUCAACAGCAGAUAUAGCAAUCAAAUAUCACAUACCAGCAAAGUUUAAAAAAAACAGAUACGAGUUUCGAGGCGUUUUCCCUUCGCCUCACGAGUUGCAAGCCUCGAGGCGGAAUUAAAAAAUAAAUAGAAAUAUUAUAUAUCUUAUAAAAAUAGUAAUACUAACUAAAUUCAUCAUCAAAUUCAUCAAAAUAAUCAAAAACACACAUAAAAAAGACAUAAAUUGCUUGAAAUU
This 1194-nucleotide long non-coding RNA is filed under the name Helianthus annuus (common sunflower). RNAcentral's name for it is "hypothetical non coding rna". The record is from RNAcentral. Lineage: Eukaryota; Viridiplantae; Streptophyta; Magnoliopsida; Asterales; Asteraceae.